This 72-nucleotide transfer RNA is filed under the name Ovis aries (sheep). It matches the Rfam family "tRNA". Rfam says of the family: Transfer RNA (tRNA) molecules are approximately 80 nucleotides in length. Their secondary structure includes four short double-helical elements and three loops (D, anti-codon, and T loops). The record is from Rfam by way of RNAcentral. Lineage: Eukaryota; Metazoa; Chordata; Mammalia; Artiodactyla; Bovidae.
UCUCUGGUGGCUCAGAUGGUAAAGAACCUGCCUACAGUGCAGGAGACCUGGGUUCGAUUCCUGGGUUGGGAA